GUGAAGCCCUAACUUGGAGCAUUGUCAAGGACCUCCUGCAUAAGCCCUGCACAGCAGCCCUGGUGGGAGGCAGAGAGAUCUGAGAGUCCUUCUAUUACAAGGACACUGCAAAGGGGGGAAGAUUUUAUACUGGGAUUAAAAGGAGUUUUAAUCUGUUGUUCUCCUCUGGCUUUCUGUUCAUUUGAAGUUUGGAGAAUUACUCUAACUGAUGAAAUACCCAGUUGUAGAAGCAAUCUGGAAGUCCCAUCAGCCCUGGCAUAAUACAGAUGUAGUCACAUUUAAUACCACAUUUCUCUAAAGUUUAUUUCUGCCAACCUAUCCCCAUUCACAUGUCUACUACAGUAAGUAAGAUCUUUUACAUUUUCUAGUGUCUCCCAGCUAUUUUUGAGAAUCCCCAGCAUGUGCCUUCUCUUGCUUUCAUAAAAAAUAAGGCUCAGGAUCUAAAGUCAGAAUGCCUUUUUAAAAAUCUGGGAUUCAAUAUUUACUGUUUGUAUAAUCUUGGAAUACACAUUUUUGUCUAUAGCAUUGAUCUCUUCAUCUAAAACAGGGAUAUUCACAACAGAUGGUCCCGAAAGUAUGUGACUGUGAGGAAAAAAAAAAAUAUUCCAAGACCCUAUCCAUAUAGCAAUUUAAGUCAACAGAAAAUGUACUUCAGAACCGUUGCGGCAGUCCAAUCCCACGCAAUCGUGCGAAAGAAAUACUGUGCCAGCCUCUGAGGCAACCUGCUGGGGAGGCUGCCUUUCCUGGACAAGGACUCAGCCAUUGGCUCCAGAACGACCUUAAUUUUAUGCACCAGCCCUGGAGGUCUUCGGGGCACCUGAUGCCUUACAUGCAAGGGAGAGAGAAAGAAAGAACCCUGAAGGGAAAAAACAGGGAUCAGGGCUCAGGCUGGUCCCGGUCCCAUGCCGGGGCUCCCUGGCUGAAUGGUACUGCUCACCUCAGCCACCAACAAGGGACUGAGGACCCUCUGAGGAAGGUGCUGCUCGCCAAAGCACGGGCCCCGUGAGGUGCCAGGCCAAGAGUUGUGACCCCACCUGAGGGUGUGGUAUUGCUAUGAGGAUUUAAUAAAAUUAUGCAAUCAGAGGACAUAACUUUACCAAAGCAAAAUUAAUACUUCAUAAACGUCACCUGUUAUUCAUUCCUGUAAGUUACGGAGUUGUAACUGCCGUUUCUCUGCUUCUCUGAGACUGUGUAAGCAGCACGACAGAGAUCACGGACCACCGCCACGCAUGUCAGUCCUGCCUCUUAUCCUGCCUUCCCUGCCAGUGGCUGCUUCUGCUUCUCGGGGUAUCACCGCCUAGCUGGGGGUGCUCACGUGCCAAACCCUCCAAAGGCCAAGUCGUGCGGCCUCUCUCUUGCAAGAGCCACAGAAGAGUGCACAAGGUGCAGGGCCAAGACACCUCCAAGGGAAGUGAGCGUCGCAGGUGCAACCAGCUCUGAAGUGUCUGGUGCUAUUUGGACUUGUCUGCCGGCCCCCCCAGGGGGAAUUAAAAUGGAACGCAAGCCUAGGAUGAUGAAACAGGAAAUGCCAGGUAAACGAAGAUUGAAUCGAAGCAAAAUCUAGAGAGCAUCAGAAGGGGAGGCAAAUGAUCUGUCUGAACUUGAUUUUUCAGUGAAAAUUUCAGGAAUUGAAAUGGUUCUUGAAUUCAAAGAUUUGAAUAAGCAGAGAAUAUAAGACAUAAAACCAGAAUCAGCAAUGUUUUGUUUUACAAAGCAAAUUGAGACAAUUAGGUAGGCUGGAAGGAAGGAUGUGCGGGUGGUGUGACUUCCAUCUCUCUGGGCCCAGCACUGUGCAGUCCCAGCGUCCGGCCAUGGCAGCAGACUUCAAAGUGUUCAGUUCACAACCAAACCGUCGAUAAGCUGCACCAGAUGAGUCAGGUGGGAAGCAAUGGCUCUAAAGGCUGAACUCUGGUUCCCCAGUGGGACCAGCACUUGAUCUGGCGAGACAUUUUUUUCUAAUUGAGGUGUAACUGACAUAUAACAUUAUAUUAGUUUCAGGUGUACAUGAUUCAAUAUUUGUAUAUAUUUUGCAAAAUUAUUAUAAUAAGUCUAGCCAACAUCCACCACCAAACAUUGCCACAAAUUUUUUUUCUUGUGAUAAGAACUUUUAAGAUUGAUUUUCUUAGCAACUCUUGAAAAUGCAGUGCAGUAAUAAUCAUAGUCGCCAUGCUACACAUCGCAUUCCUGGGACUCAUGUUUUUUAUUACUGGAAGCCUCUACCUUUUCGAUCCUUCACCCAUUUUUUUAUCAACCCCCACUCCCUGCCUCCUGCAAGCACCAGUCUGUUCUCUGUAUCUAUGAACCUAAUUGUUCUUCUUUUUAGAUUGUACAUAUAAAUGAGAUCAUGUGGUAUUUUUCUUUCUCUGACUUAAUUCACUUAGCAUGAUUUUCAAGGUUCAUCCAUUUUAAUGCAAAUGGCAAUAUUUCAUUCUUUUUUAUGGGUGAAUAGUAUCCUAUAUAUAUGCCACAAUUUCUUUAUGCAUUCACCCAUUGAUGGACACUUAGGUUGCUUCCAUAUUUUGGAUACUAUAAAUAAUGCUGCAAUAAACAUAGGGUGCAUAUAUCUUUUCAAGUUAGUGUCUUCAUUUUCUUUGGAUAAAUACCCAGAGGUGGAAUUUCUGGAUCAUAUAGUAGUUCUAUUUUUGAUUUUUUAAAGGAAUCUUCACAUUGUUUUCCAUACCGGCUGUACCGGUUCACAUCCCCACCACCUGUGAAUGAGGGCUUCCCCUCUCCACAGCCUCACCAACACUCAUUACCUUUAGAAUUUUUGAUAAGAGCCAUUUUAACAGGUGUGAGGUGAUAACUCAUUGUGAUUUGCAUUUCCCUGAUGAUUAGUGAUGUUGACAUCUGUUUACGUAUCUGUUGGCCAUCUCUAUAUCUUCUUUGGAAAAAUGUUUAUUCAAACCCUCUGUCCAUUUUUUAAAUCAGAUUUUGGGUUUUUCUGCUAUUAAGUUGCAUGAGUUCUUUAUAUAUUUGCAUAUUUAACUCCUUAUCAGGUGUACACUUUGCAAAAAUUUUUCUCCCAUUCCAUAUGUUGUCUUUUCAUUUUUCUGAUUCUUUCUUUGCUGUGCAGAUGUUUGAUGUAGUCCCACUUGUAUUUUUGCUUUUAUUACCUAUUCAGCAAGAUUUGAUCCAUAAUGAAUAAUAAGGAUUCUUGAGCAUGGGAAAAUCUGGUCAUAGGAGUUUAUAAAGCAAAUUAGUGCAAAUGUUACUGGAAAUGGAUUCUUUAUCUCAUCACAAGAAUUAAAAAAAGAUGCAAAAAAAAGAUCCAGUGAGCAUCAGGAGUUUAUUUGGAGACCAAGAGUUUAGAGACAGACAAAAGUCUAUGCCCAAGAGUUGGGCAUGGGUAGACCCAGGGGGAGUCGUGCCAAGGAAACAGUAAGGAGCCUUUCUGUGUAAAGGAAUAUGAAUAUUCAAAGGGAAUAGAGAGUUUUUUUUGUAUUUCAGGCUUGCUCCACCCUCACGUCGCCCGGACAGAGGGAUCUCGAGCUAUAUUUGGUUCUCAUCAGAACCGUCCUGGUGCAGGAAGGUGUGCCUUUACCUCGCUAAUGAAGGAGGGGCGUGAUCUUUACUUGUUAAUGUAUCUGGGGGUGAGGUUUGGUCAGCUUCUCCUCCGUGUUGGAGCCGCCAGUUCUGGCCAGUGUGUCGUCUGUAUUCUCACUCCACACUCCAGAGCGGCUUGCCGGAAUGUGCAGAAUGUAAGCAAGCAUUCACCUGAAGUCCCCCACCUCUCCCUGCUCAUGUCUGACUAUCUACCUGCUCUGACAUAAAGAGAAGAAGGAAGGCCUUUUAGGGACCAGGACUCCAGGCCCAGAUGACCACAUACUGCCCAUCCACGGCCCAUUCUCACACUUGCAGCUAGUGUCACUGCCUUUUUAGGGGACUAGGACAGCGUUUGCUAUACCUUCCUUCCAGCAAGGAUGCCAAGCCCUCCUAGGGGCAUCUUCUCAGUGUCCAGCAGCCAUUCCCCACACCAGGGUCCUGUCCUAGGACUGCCUUUCAACAGCCCUUUACAGAGGAAGGACCUCACCAUGGCACACCAGGGGGGACCCUGCCUAGAUCCCGAGGCCAAGGGUCAAGCUGCCGUCUGCGAGGGUUGGGAACACCUCAGGUUCCCCCUGGAAGCCAAGAGCAUGAACGGCUUGCAGGAGCUGCUACGGGGCCACCUCUCACUCGCUUCCCACUUCCCCUGGGAGGCCGUCACGGACAUUUCUCCUUGUCUCCCAGGUCCUGUGAGGUGCGGGGCUUUCUGCCCCAACCCUCUCAGAACAGAGCUGCACAAUACGAAACCAGAACCUCUUGCUGCCUCCUACCACGGGCAACUCGGCAACAGGUGACCUCACAACGUGCGCCGCAGUCAUCGAGCCCCUUCAGUUUCAGUGUCGCACUUUUUGAUGUGCGGGACGAAGAUGACCAGGAGCUGCUACUUCUGCCUUAUUCUUCUCUUUGCUGACUAUUUAAGUGACAAAGUACCUAAGCUGAAAGUGGCUCCUUGUAUCUUCAGCACUUGAAUCAAUCAGGCCUUAGCCUUUCCUUGUCUUGACCAUGUGUGCUUGACACCCUUCCAAUAAACAGCCAAGCUGCAGGAUGGUUGUGCGGGUGCGACUCAAAGAAAACACAUGAGAAGUUCACGGUGCGCUUCGUCAAGUUCAGGUCCCCACUCGGUGCCGCGGCUGUAAAUCCUUUCGCCCUUCCCGGUGUUCACACUCGGACCAGCAGUACAGGGUGGGAAGGCCUUUUUCCUACCGGGUGCGGGCUCCUGGCGAGCUUCAGACAGAUGUGCACAGUUGAAGGUGUUCGCUCACCAACGGCUCCAUCUUGUCCAGAUCUCCGCACAUGACAUCACUCUCUUGUUCCUUGAAAGCCUUUAUUUUUCCUUUAGUGAUUAAGAGCGCGGGGCCUGGGGCCAGUCCGUCUGGAUUCACAGCCUCGCUCCUCCAUUCAGGGAAGUCACUUUACCCCUUUAGGCCUCAGUGCUCACAACUUAUAAAAUGAGACUAACCAAAAUGACUUCCUUAUAGGAUUGUUAAGGGGAGUAAUGAGUUAAUAUAUGCAAAGUGCUUAUAAAAGUUAGAAUUUCUGGGUGGGCACUGAGUAUCUAGAUGGUAUUAUUAUUUAUCGUCAUCAUCAUCGUCAUCGCCACCCUCUCCACAUCCCCCUUUAGUUUUCCAGCUCCCACCACGACCUCAAACACAAGCAGCCGCCUUCGCCACCAAGCUCGGGAGCGUGGCUUCUUGACUGUUGAAUUCUGAAUGAUAUUUGGGUGGCCUUAUUUACAAUUUUCUCUUUAAGGAAUUCCGUAUUUCUUUGACCCGCUACAUGGAAUAGGAGGGGAGUAGAGAAUCACUGUAUCCAGUAAACAAAUAAUGAGGGUUUUUUGGUAUAAGGUUUUUAACUGGAGACAACUUUAGACUUACAGAAAAGAUCUAAGACCAGUACCGAGUUUUUUUUUUUUCUGGAGCCAUUUGAGAGUGAAUUGCUGACCCAGUGCUUUGUCACUCACAAAUACUAGUGCUCACUACGAGCAAGGACAUUC
This is a long non-coding RNA of Manis pentadactyla (Chinese pangolin), 5536 nucleotides long. RefSeq lists it as uncharacterized. The record is from RefSeq and is a predicted model, not a curated record. NCBI's taxonomy places the organism in Eukaryota, Metazoa, Chordata, Mammalia, Pholidota, Manidae. The transcript is spliced from 3 exons.